ACUGCUCGUGGUAAGUGGCUUCGUGGUCUUUAUAGCUGUUACUCUUUUGUACUUUGUCUUUUUCUUUUAUUUUCUUUUGAGCGAUUGUGCGAACAUAGCAUAGCACGCACUAUGCCUUCUGUGUUGUAGCUGCCUGGCCAGGGCGACUGGCGGAUAAGGUCUUGUGCGUGGCCUCGAGGCUUAAAAGUAGCAGUGGGGCUUUGUGAAGGACAAAAUGGCGAUGGCGGGCCGUGUAGGUCCCCCUUCCUAUGAUGAGGACCUUUUCACAGACCUGUACUGAGCUCCGUGAGGAUAAAUAACUCUGAGGAGAUGGGCCCUGCAAGCCUCUUGCUUAGCCGUCUGUUCAGAAAAUAGCGUUUUCGAAAUGCCCUGAGUUGACCUAAUGUCUUAUUGGGCUCCUGUCUGCAGGAUUUACGCGCACGUUGGAACCGAAGAGAGCUCUGUUGUUGCAAUGUUCAGCCCACAAGAGCUUACUGGUGAAGGAAUGGGACAAGACCCAUCUUUAUGCAAAGCCAGCGUUACAGUAAUGUUCCAGGUAUUCCUGAUGACAGUCUGCCUCUAUCUUACAGAGCAGCUUGUUGCUAUAUACCAUUGAAAAGCCUUCAGAGCUGAGAGGUACUACUAACCAAUAACCUGCUUGGCUCAAAGGGCCAGCACCUUCUCUCUAAAGCCCAAGAGGAGUUUGAGGAAAACUAGGUGUCUGUGUUCACUCCAGGCUGAAGUUACAGGUCUGAGCAAAUAAGGUGUAUAAAAAAUGGAAUCUGUCUUGGAGGACAUCAGAAGGUGAAUUUUCCAAGUUCUUGGACAACCUAGCUGUUGAAAAGCUUUCUGGGUUUGGGGGGUAUUUCAGAUGUACCUUAAAGUGUUAGCAGACACAGAUUAAGACACUGGGAGCCAAUGAAACAGCAGUUGAGGGUUUGCUGUGUAUCACAUUUCUGUAUUUUAUCACCCCCUUCCUGCAACAUUAUUUAUCUGGAAUCUACCUGCCCUUUUGUUUUUUAGAUACAAGGGCUUGGUUUUGUUACCCAGGCUGGUUUCAAGGCCAUAGCUUUAAGAGAUCCUCUCACCACAGAUUUCCAAAGUGCUGGGAUUGCAGGUGUGAUUCAUGGCACCCAGACUUUGCUGCCUUUCUUACAUGAUCCAGGCCCAGAACCCAAACUCAGGCACUGUAUAGAUGACCACUUUCGUAAACUACUGACCUAGCUUGUUGCCAAUUGUUGAUUGAACUUCCCAUAACUCCACUUCGUGUCUGUUCCUCUGUAUACAGCCACCUUCUGUUCCCGUCAUGAGCCUUUAGGUCUCCAUUUGCAUAUUGCAAAUACUAUGUUCCAUGUAGGUAGCUCAUUCAGGGCCUUGCUCUUCACUUCAAAAAAGGUUCCCUUGAGGACUGGCUGUCAAUUUGUGUUGCUGUGUUGGUUGUUGAUGAAAAUAAUAAAAUGAUUGAUUACAUA
This 1451-nucleotide long non-coding RNA is filed under the name Homo sapiens (human). Its description in RNAcentral is "non-protein coding SNHG1:9". The stretch from base 243 to 311 matches the Rfam family "Small nucleolar RNA SNORD25". Lineage: Eukaryota; Metazoa; Chordata; Mammalia; Primates; Hominidae. The record is from RNAcentral.